GAUGAACGCUGGCGGCGUGCCUAAUACAUGCAAGUAGAACGCUGAAGCUUGGUGCUUGCACCGAGCGGAUGAGUUGCGAACGGGUGAGUAACGCGUAGGUAACCUGCCUCUUAGCGGGGGAUAACUAUUGGAAACGAUAGCUAAUACCGCAUAAAAGUCGAUAUCGCAUGAUAUUGAUUUGAAAGGUGCAAAUGCAUCACUAAGAGAUGGACCUGCGUUGUAUUAGCUAGUUGGUGAGGUAACGGCUCACCAAGGCGACGAUACAUAGCCGACCUGAGAAGGUGAUCGGCCACACUGGGACUGAGACACGGCCCAGACUCCUACGGGAGGCAGCAGUAGGGAAUCUUCGGCAAUGGGGGCAACCCUGACCGAGCAACGCCGCGUGAGUGAAGAAGGUUUUCGGAUCGUAAAGCUCUGUUGUAAGAGAAGAACGAGUGUGAGAGUGGAAAGUUCACACUGUGACGGUAACUUACCAGAAAGGGACGGCUAACUACGUG
Molecule: ribosomal RNA, 497 nt
Filed under: uncultured bacterium
Lineage: Bacteria
Description: partial 16S ribosomal RNA
Rfam family: Bacterial small subunit ribosomal RNA
Source: RNAcentral